GGGUUGUGAGGUUAAGCGACUAAGCGUACACGGUGGAUGCCCUGGCAGUCAGAGGCGAUGAAGGACGUGCUAAUCUGCGAUAAGCGUCGGUAAGGUGAUAUGAACCGUUAUAACCGGCGAUUUCCGAAUGGGGAAACCCAGUGUGUUUCGACACACUAUCAUUAACUGAAUCCAUAGGUUAAUGAGGCGAACCGGGGGAACUGAAACAUCUAAGUACCCCGAGGAAAAGAAAUCAACCGAGAUUCCCCCAGUAGCGGCGAGCGAACGGGGAGCAGCCCAGAGCCUGAAUCAGUGUGUGUGUUAGUGGAAGCGUCUGGAAAGGCGCGCGAUACAGGGUGACAGCCCCGUACACAAAAAUGCACAUGCUGUGAGCUCGAUGAGUAGGGCGGGACACGUGGUAUCCUGUCUGAAUAUGGGGGGACCAUCCUCCAAGGCUAAAUACUCCUGACUGACCGAUAGUGAACCAGUACCGUGAGGGAAAGGCGAAAAGAACCCCGGCGAGGGGAGUGAAAAAGAACCUGAAACCGUGUACGUACAAGCAGUGGGAGCACGCUUCGGCGUGUGACUGCGUACCUUUUGUAUAAUGGGUCAGCGACUUAUAUUCUGUAGCAAGGUUAACCGAAUAGGGGAGCCGAAGGGAAACCGAGUCUUAACUGGGCGUUAAGUUGCAGGGUAUAGACCCGAAACCCGGUGAUCUAGCCAUGGGCAGGUUGAAGGUUGGGUAACACUAACUGGAGGACCGAACCGACUAAUGUUGAAAAAUUAGCGGAUGACUUGUGGCUGGGGGUGAAAGGCCAAUCAAACCGGGAGAUAGCUGGUUCUCCCCGAAAGCUAUUUAGGUAGCGCCUCGUGAAUUCAUCUCCGGGGGUAGAGCACUGUUUCGGCAAGGGGGUCAUCCCGACUUACCAACCCGAUGCAAACUGCGAAUACCGGAGAAUGUUAUCACGGGAGACACACGGCGGGUGCUAACGUCCGUCGUGAAGAGGGAAACAACCCAGACCGCCAGCUAAGGUCCCAAAGUCAUGGUUAAGUGGGAAACGAUGUGGGAAGGCCCAGACAGCCAGGAUGUUGGCUUAGAAGCAGCCAUCAUUUAAAGAAAGCGUAAUAGCUCACUGGUCGAGUCGGCCUGCGCGGAAGAUGUAACGGGGCUAAACCAUGCACCGAAGCUGCGGCAGCGACACUAUGUGUUGUUGGGUAGGGGAGCGUUCUGUAAGCCUGUGAAGGUGUGCUGUGAGGCAUGCUGGAGGUAUCAGAAGUGCGAAUGCUGACAUAAGUAACGAUAAAGCGGGUGAAAAGCCCGCUCGCCGGAAGACCAAGGGUUCCUGUCCAACGUUAAUCGGGGCAGGGUGAGUCGACCCCUAAGGCGAGGCCGAAAGGCGUAGUCGAUGGGAAACAGGUUAAUAUUCCUGUACUUGGUGUUACUGCGAAGGGGGGACGGAGAAGGCUAUGUUGGCCGGGCGACGGUUGUCCCGGUUUAAGCGUGUAGGCUGGUUUUCCAGGCAAAUCCGGAAAAUCAAGGCUGAGGCGUGAUGACGAGGCACUACGGUGCUGAAGCAACAAAUGCCCUGCUUCCAGGAAAAGCCUCUAAGCAUCAGGUAACAUCAAAUCGUACCCCAAACCGACACAGGUGGUCAGGUAGAGAAUACCAAGGCGCUUGAGAGAACUCGGGUGAAGGAACUAGGCAAAAUGGUGCCGUAACUUCGGGAGAAGGCACGCUGAUAUGUAGGUGAAGUCCCUCGCGGAUGGAGCUGAAAUCAGUCGAAGAUACCAGCUGGCUGCAACUGUUUAUUAAAAACACAGCACUGUGCAAACACGAAAGUGGACGUAUACGGUGUGACGCCUGCCCGGUGCCGGAAGGUUAAUUGAUGGGGUUAGCGCAAGCGAAGCUCUUGAUCGAAGCCCCGGUAAACGGCGGCCGUAACUAUAACGGUCCUAAGGUAGCGAAAUUCCUUGUCGGGUAAGUUCCGACCUGCACGAAUGGCGUAAUGAUGGCCAGGCUGUCUCCACCCGAGACUCAGUGAAAUUGAACUCGCUGUGAAGAUGCAGUGUACCCGCGGCAAGACGGAAAGACCCCGUGAACCUUUACUAUAGCUUGACACUGAACAUUGAGCCUUGAUGUGUAGGAUAGGUGGGAGGCUUUGAAGUGUGGACGCCAGUCUGCAUGGAGCCGACCUUGAAAUACCACCCUUUAAUGUUUGAUGUUCUAACGUUGACCCGUAAUCCGGGUUGCGGACAGUGUCUGGUGGGUAGUUUGACUGGGGCGGUCUCCUCCUAAAGAGUAACGGAGGAGCACGAAGGUUGGCUAAUCCUGGUCGGACAUCAGGAGGUUAGUGCAAUGGCAUAAGCCAGCUUGACUGCGAGCGUGACGGCGCGAGCAGGUGCGAAAGCAGGUCAUAGUGAUCCGGUGGUUCUGAAUGGAAGGGCCAUCGCUCAACGGAUAAAAGGUACUCCGGGGAUAACAGGCUGAUACCGCCCAAGAGUUCAUAUCGACGGCGGUGUUUGGCACCUCGAUGUCGGCUCAUCACAUCCUGGGGCUGAAGUAGGUCCCAAGGGUAUGGCUGUUCGCCAUUUAAAGUGGUACGCGAGCUGGGUUUAGAACGUCGUGAGACAGUUCGGUCCCUAUCUGCCGUGGGCGCUGGAGAACUGAGGGGGGCUGCUCCUAGUACGAGAGGACCGGAGUGGACGCAUCACUGGUGUUCGGGUUGUCAUGCCAAUGGCACUGCCCGGUAGCUAAAUGCGGAAGAGAUAAGUGCUGAAAGCAUCUAAGCACGAAACUUGCCCCGAGAUGAGUUCUCCCUGACUCCUUGAGAGUCCUGAAGGAACGUUGAAGACGACGACGUUGAUAGGCCGGGUGUGUAAGCGCAGCGAUGCGUUGAGCUAACCGGUACUAAUGAACCGUGAGGCUUAACCUUACAACGCCGAAG
This 2924-nucleotide ribosomal RNA is filed under the name Escherichia coli. RNAcentral's name for it is "bacterial LSU rRNA". It matches the Rfam family "Bacterial large subunit ribosomal RNA". The record is from RNAcentral. Lineage: Bacteria; Pseudomonadati; Pseudomonadota; Gammaproteobacteria; Enterobacterales; Enterobacteriaceae.